AGAGCCAAACAAGUAGAGGGUGUUCACUAAUUAACUGGUUAGUUAAUUACACCCUGUUGCCUCCGAAGAACAUCCUAAAGCUGUGUCCAAUGAUGUAUAAAAUACAGUACAGCAGUUAAACAUAGCUGCAAAAGAAUGGGAACAAAUGAUUGCAGGGAAACAAAGCACACCUAACAAAGAAGCUAAUACAAAGACAUAUAAUAGGGAAAUUUUAGCUUUCUAGAGGGCAAAUCAAUGAAAGAGGAAACCUGGUAAAAAGGGAAACUUCUGAUACCAGCAAGUUAAAAUAGAGCAUUUGCUGUGGAAAAACAUUUGACAUAGUGACCAAUUCUCUGGAUCUCAAUGGAGAGGAAUCGGUGUAUUUACUAUAAGCAGUGUCCUUAACAGAAUCAUUGGGAUAAACACGGUGAUGAGUUGUGCAGGGUCAUUUUAUAUCUGGCUUUGGUCCUGGCCCUAACUACAUCCCCCUCUCCAUUAUAGGAGGGCUGAUCUGUCUUUACAAAUAACAUACUUGGUUGGGAAUAUAAAUCUUUAGUAUUAGCUCUGUAAGAACCAUCUGUUAAGAAUAGUUGUAUCCAUCCCAAACAAAGCAUAAAAAUGCAUGAUUUUUCACUGAGUUUAGAGCUGUGUCAGAAGCUGUCUUGAGUAUCUUUUGGUAACUGGGAACCUUCCACUCCACAUACAGAGGAGGGAAACUGUCCUUUUAGACUGUCAAGAAUUUUAGCAUUUGAUGGGAUGUCAGAAUAUUUUUCAGAAGAAAUUGAGAUCUACAGAAAUAAAGUGGUGUCCCCAAGAUUAAACAGAAAAUGGAAGAUUGCAUUGUAGACUCCUGCAAAUUUGGGACGUCAGUUUCAAACAUCAUAAAACCAGGACCAAAAGCCAGUAAGGUGAUAACCUUCAAACGGCCAUUACUGUUGCAAAGAAUUCUGAAAUGAUCCCUCCAGGCAGCCAAGUGAUCAUUGUUGAGGCCGAUGAACCAGAAGAAUUUGUUCCUGCCUCUGUGACCUGGCAGCUGGUGGAGAACCAAGAGACUGGACCUGGGAAGAAAGUGAGCAAAUGUUAGAAGGCCCCUCCGUGGGCCUAGACUGAUGGAAUACAGUCCUGGCACUGCUCAGCCUUCUCUCAACUCCAGGAGUCAUCUCAGUAAUAAUCCCUCACAUCUGUCCAGAGUUUGACAGUUUGCAAAGCAUUUCUGCCAGCUCUGGUUGCCUAGGAAAAUCACCUGGGGGAGUUUCUAAGCUUCCAGUGCAGGCUGCACCAAUUAAAUCAGAACCCCUGGGGUAGGAACUGGCAUCAGGUGCUUUUCCCAGCAAUUCCAGUGUGCAGUCAUGGCUGAGAACUACUGAUUUAUACUCAUAUUUUCCACUUGGUCAUUAAAAUAACCCUAUGCAAUUGGGCAAACCAUUAAUUUUUACAGAUGAGAAAACUGAGGCUCAGAGCAGUAAGAUUGCCCAAUACAAAAACUGGUGAGUUGCAGAGCAGGAAAGCAGACUUAGGCCUAUUUGAUUCCACACAGAUCCACGGGCAUUUAGAUUGUACUAUACCUAUGACAUGAAGCUAACAGAGGCUGGGCUUUUCUAGAUAGAAAGCUCCCUAUGCUCUUGUGACAGAAUAGCUUUUUCAUAAGACAAUGGGCUGUAGCCUUACAUUCCAUCACUAAAGGUAACACCCAUGCUUUUGUGUGAAUUCAAAGAUAUGGCCCUACAGGUGAUGAAUUACAAAAAUGCUGCCUUCCUCCAGGCUGACCAGCCUUUCAGAUUGUUAAGUAUAGAGCGGGCCUUUGUGCAGUCAGGAGUCUUUCUGCAGCACACAAACUGCACAGCUAUACAGAAUGGCCCUGCCCCUACCCUGGGAAGAGGUGGGUUAACUUGCCUCAACCUCUAAUUGCAUGGGCUGUGAAAGAUGACAGCUCUCCCUCUGCUCUCAGCAGAUUUCUGGUGCUUAUUUCCUUGUGAACCUACUUGCUUCUCCAUCGGUGCAUGCUGCCUGAAUUUCACUGCAUGCUGUAACCCAGGUCCUUUGUGAAUUUUAACUAACAGUCCACUCACACUACUCAUUCAUGAAUUUAAUGCCUCUGCUGAAAUUUUAGUCCCCACCAGGAGAAGCUGUAUCACAGUUUCAGGCCUUCCUCCUCUCUGGGUCCCUCCACCAUACUUCCUCUCCCCACAUUCCCAGUGCAAGCAAAAGGAAUUCCUGCCCUUGUCUCAGGAGGGAUGCUUUAGAACAUGUCUUUUGUUGGUUAUUUUGCAAUUGGAGAUAGAAAGGGAGGGGUGUGUCAUCUUGCCUCCCAAUUCAGCACAGCAAUUUUUUUUUCUUUCAACUACAAUGCUUUCCCUGAGAUGAAGUCAUCUGAUGAAUAAAAUUUUCUCACCUCCUGCAA
Molecule: long non-coding RNA, 2380 nt
Filed under: Homo sapiens (human)
Lineage: Eukaryota; Metazoa; Chordata; Mammalia; Primates; Hominidae
Description: non-protein coding lnc-ATP13A4-6:1
Source: RNAcentral